GCAGCCGCCGCGGGAAUACAGAGGGUGCGAGCGUUAAUCGGAUUUACUGGGCGUAAAGCGUGCGUAGGCGGCUUCUUAAGUCGGAUGUGAAAUCCCUGAGCUUAACUUAGGAAUUGCAUUCGAUACUGGGAAGCUAGAGUAUGGGAGAGGAUGGUAGAAUUCCAGGUGUAGCGGUGAAAUGCGUAGAGAUCUGGAGGAAUACCGAUGGCGAAGGCAGCCAUCUGGCCUAAUACUGACGCUGAGGUACGAAAGCAUGGGGAGCAAACAGGAUUAGAUACCCCUGUAGUCCCUGUCUCUUAUAC
This 302-nucleotide ribosomal RNA is filed under the name uncultured bacterium. RNAcentral's name for it is "partial 16S ribosomal RNA". It matches the Rfam family "Bacterial small subunit ribosomal RNA", at positions 508 to 807 of the family's 1533-position model. The record is from RNAcentral.